GGUAGAGCGCGAGGACUUCAAACCCGAAGUUGCCCAAAAU
Molecule: transfer RNA, 40 nt
Filed under: Thalassiosira rotula
Lineage: Eukaryota; Bacillariophyta; Thalassiosirophyceae; Thalassiosirales; Thalassiosiraceae
Description: partial Selenocysteine transfer RNA
Source: RNAcentral